AUAUGGGUUUGUAACUUCAUUCCAUUGUCCUUUUGCAAAUCAGUAAGUUCAUAUAUGUCCUUCUUAUUAUUAUUUUUUUUCCCUCAAAGCAAAUUAAAAAAAACUAAUAUUUUGAUUCUGAAUUCUGAGUUUUGGAUGCAGUGUCAGCGAUAAAAAUAGUAGAGUAUAGAGUGGCAGGACUGGAAGGAAGGCUAUUAUAGAAUUCUAUUUCUACCAAUUUAUGAUAAUCCUUCUUCCAUAGGGAAAAGGUAUUUGUUAACUUUCCCCCUUUUAAUAUUUUUAUUUUGGAUCUAUAUUUUGUUUUUUGCUAUACUGCAGUUUUUUUAAUCAUGGGUUCUGUUACUGUAUUUUCUUUUACAUACAUUGGAUUUUCCUCCAGGUUUAUAAUGAAUAUGGAGGUGUUUGAGAUGAAGUUUUUUCUUCUAGAGGGAAAAACUAUUCACAUUAGUAAUUGGUUCCCUAUACAUUACGAAAUCAAAGCUUUGAUCUUUU
RNAcentral lists this long non-coding RNA (492 nucleotides) under Nicotiana tabacum (common tobacco). Its description in RNAcentral is "long non-coding RNA (NTAB_LNC017982)". Lineage: Eukaryota; Viridiplantae; Streptophyta; Magnoliopsida; Solanales; Solanaceae. The record is from RNAcentral.